This 59-nucleotide transfer RNA is filed under the name Haringtonhippus francisci. Its description in RNAcentral is "partial tRNA-Trp". The record is from RNAcentral. Lineage: Eukaryota; Metazoa; Chordata; Mammalia; Perissodactyla; Equidae.
GUUUACAUCCAGACCAAGAGCCUUCAAAGCUCUAAGCAAGUAUAUUUACUUAAUUCCUG